Molecule: long non-coding RNA, 463 nt
Filed under: Mytilus galloprovincialis (Mediterranean mussel)
Lineage: Eukaryota; Metazoa; Mollusca; Bivalvia; Mytilida; Mytilidae
Source: RNAcentral
GGUGGCAUUUAUUAUUAACUACCUUUACAUAAGGCUCCGUACCAAUACAAGUUUUAAACAAUCUAUAAAAUCUUAAUUUAUUACCAUUGACAUUAUUUUUAUCAUUCCAUACUUCAUGGUGCCAAGAUUCUUUUUUAAAAGUUUGUAUAGAAUCCCAUACAUUACUCAUAUUAAUUUCAUCUUCUACAUUUAUAAUCAAACUAUAUUUACGAGCUAACUGUAAAACUCUAUAAUCCCAUGAAGAUUUCCUUUUUAACCACCCAGGUAUGAACCUUUUUACAUAUAUUACUGGUAUUGUCACACUUAAGAUGAUUCCAUAGUUACUUUUAGUAGUGCAUCACCUGAUAAAAAAAACCAUAUCACCUCUAGCAGCUAAAUUGCUGCUUCAUUUGCCUAAGCCUAAGAAAAAUUUACAAGCAUUGUUUUGCAAACUAUUUAUACAAUUAUGUAUAUUAAUGCCCCA